UACGUAGGUGGCAAGCGUUGUCCGGAUUUACUGGGCGUAAAGGAUGCGUAGGCGGACAUUUAAGUCAGAUGUGAAAUCCCUGGGCUUAACCUAGGAAUUGCAUUUUAGACUGCAUGGCUAGAGUGCGGUAGAGGGUAGUGGAAUUUCCGGUGUAGCGGUGAAAUGCGUAGAGAUCGGAAGGAACACCAGUGGCGAAGGCGGGUCUCUGGGCAGUAACUGACGCUGAGGAGCGAAAGCGUGGGGAGCGAACAGG
RNAcentral lists this ribosomal RNA (253 nucleotides) under uncultured bacterium. RNAcentral describes it as "partial 16S ribosomal RNA". It matches the Rfam family "Bacterial small subunit ribosomal RNA", at positions 524 to 776 of the family's 1533-position model. The record is from RNAcentral.